This 612-nucleotide ribosomal RNA is filed under the name uncultured bacterium. RNAcentral's name for it is "bacterial SSU rRNA". The stretch from base 1 to 520 matches the Rfam family "Bacterial small subunit ribosomal RNA", at positions 338 to 873 of the family's 1533-position model. The record is from RNAcentral.
CCUACGGGAGGCAGCAGUGGGGAAUAUUGGGCAAUGGAGGAAACUCUGACCCAGCGACGCCGCGUGCGGGAUGAAGGCCUUCGGGUUGUAAACCGCUUUCAGUAGGGAAGAAGCGAAAGUGACGGUACCUACAAAAGAAGCACCGGCUAACUAUGUGCCAGCAGCCGCGGUAAUACAUAGGGUGCAAGCGUUGUCCGGAAUUAUUGGGCGUAAAGAGCUCGUAGGUCGUUUGUUACGUCGGAUGUGAAAACCUGAGGCUCAACCUCAGGCCUGCAUUCGAUACGGGCAAACUAGAGUUUGGUAGGGGAGACUGGAAUUCCUGGUGUAGCGGUGGAAUGCGCAGAUAUCAGGAGGAACACCAAUGGCGAAGGCAGGUCUCUGGGCCAAUACUGACACUGAGGAGCGAAAGUCUGGGGAGCGAACAGGAUUAGAUACCCUGGUAGUCCAGACCGUAAACGGUGGGCACUAGUUGUGGGAACCUUCCACGGUUUCUGCGACGCNGCUACGCAUAGUGCCCGCCGUCGGGAGGUACGAGUCGCGAGAGUUAAACGUACGAAAGGAAGUUAGUAACGGUCGUGAGACGUGCCGAACGGACGACGACGAGGGAGGAGG